GGUGAUAUAUUUUAAGAAAAAUACCACUUUGCGAAAGUGGAGUUACCUUCAGGUUUUCACUU
This 62-nucleotide transfer RNA is filed under the name Tesseropora rosea. RNAcentral's name for it is "tRNA-Cys". Lineage: Eukaryota; Metazoa; Arthropoda; Thecostraca; Balanomorpha; Tetraclitidae. The record is from RNAcentral.